RNAcentral lists this long non-coding RNA (1007 nucleotides) under Mytilus galloprovincialis (Mediterranean mussel). Lineage: Eukaryota; Metazoa; Mollusca; Bivalvia; Mytilida; Mytilidae. The record is from RNAcentral.
GUCCCACUCGGUGUUGACUUCUAUAAUUUGGAAAGUAACAUUAUCAAAAGGAUGUUUCGUUGAACGAAGAUGUCUUGUGAGAGGACAGUUUUUGUUGGUUUUGUAUACGAUGAACGAUGGUUAUUUAGCCUAAUAUUAAAUUUGUCCAUUGUUUCACCCACAUACUGAAUGCCACAAGUGUCACAUUUUAAUAUAUAAAUUGAGUUCUCCGUUUUACAGUUGGAGUUAGAGUAGAUGGUAUAAUUUUGUUUAGUAACGGAGCUGAUGAAAGAACUGCUUGUAUAUUGGCAGCUUUACAACACAGACAUGAUUCCUUCGACCACAUUGUUUGUAGCAACUGGGCGAUGGAGUAGGCUGCUUUGCUAAUACAGAUGUCACUAAUUUGUCACGAAUGUUUUUAGGUCUUCUGAAGGCCAUGACUGGUGGUGAUGAAAAUGCAUCUUUUUUUUUUUUUUUUUUAGAUUUAAGUCAUUUUCUAUAAUUUUACAAUGCUUCUGAACAAUGGAUGACACAUUUUUAAAAUCAGGAUGGUAAGUGAGUACAAGGGGUGUUCUGUUAGCUGCUUUAUUCUUAUCUUUGUACUCAAGAAGUUCUUGGCGACUAGUUCUGUUUGCUCUUUCGAAAGCGCUAUCAAUGAUGUUAUUAUUGAAUCCUCGAACAACUAGAUGCUUACGAAGUUGUCCAAGUCUAGCAUUUUUCGUAUUUUCAGUAGAGCAUAUUCUCUUGAUUCGUAAUGCCUGGCUGAAUGGGAUACCACGGGAGCAGUGUUCAGGAUGGCAACUUUUAGGAGGAAGGAAUUGAUGUUUGUACGUUUGUUUGGUAUGAAGGUCCGUUAUAAUGGUUCCGUUCUUGAUGUAACUCGUAGUAUCGAGACAGUUUAUUUUCUCCAUAGAUGAUUCAUAUGUAAAUUUUAUUGAAUGGUGGAAAGAGUUACAGUGUUCUAGAAAUUCAUUAAGAUGUUCUUGUGAAUCUGUCCAUUUGAAAUCGAUAUCGUCAAUGAAUCGGAA